This 424-nucleotide ribosomal RNA is filed under the name uncultured fungus. RNAcentral describes it as "eukaryotic LSU rRNA". It matches the Rfam family "Eukaryotic large subunit ribosomal RNA", at positions 1 to 422 of the family's 3401-position model. The record is from RNAcentral. Lineage: Eukaryota; Fungi.
GACCUCGGAUCAGGUAGGGAUACCCGCUGAACUUAAGCAUAUCAAUAAGCGGAGGAAAAGAAACCAACAGGGAUUGCCUCAGUAACGGCGAGUGAAGCGGCAACAGCUCAAAUUUGAAAUCUGGCUCUUUCAGGGUCCGAGUUGUAAUUUGUAGAAGAUGCUUUGGGUGUGGCUCCGGUCUAAGUUCCUUGGAACAGGACGUCAUAGAGGGUGAGAAUCCCGUAUGUGACUGGUUGCCUUCGCCCGUGUAAAGCUCUUUCGACGAGUCGAGUUGUUUGGGAAUGCAGCUCAAAAUGGGUGGUAAAUUUCAUCUAAAGCUAAAUAUUGGCCAGAGACCGAUAGCGCACAAGUAGAGUGAUCGAAAGAUGAAAAGCACUUUGGAAAGAGAGUUAAACAGUACGUGAAAUUGUUGAAAGGGAAGCGC